Molecule: ribosomal RNA, 611 nt
Filed under: Myxococcus sp.
Lineage: Bacteria; Pseudomonadati; Myxococcota; Myxococcia; Myxococcales; Myxococcaceae
Description: bacterial SSU rRNA
Rfam family: Bacterial small subunit ribosomal RNA
Source: RNAcentral
AUGCAAGUCGAGCGCGAAUAGGGAAACCUUAGUAGAGCGGCGCACGGGUGCGUAACACGUGGAUAAUCUGCCUGGAUGCCUGGGAUAACCAGUCGAAAGAUUGGCUAAUACCGGAUAAGCCCACGGUUUCUUCGGAGACUGAGGGAAAAGGUGGCCUCUGUAUACAAGCUAUCACAACCAGAUGAGUCCGCGGCCCAUCAGCUAGUUGGCGGGGUAAUGGCCCACCAAGGCGACGACGGGUAGCUGGUCUGAGAGGACGAUCAGCCACACUGGAACUGAGACACGGUCCAGACUCCUACGGGAGGCAGCAGUGGGGAAUUUUGCGCAAUGGGCGAAAGCCUGACGCAGCAACGCCGCGUGUGUGAUGAAGGUCUUCGGAUUGUAAAGCACUUUCGACCGGGACGAAAACCCGUAGCCCAACACGCUACGGCUUGACGGUACCGGGGGAAGAAGCACCGGCUAACUCUGUGCCAGCAGCCGCGGUAAUACAGAGGGUGCAAGCGUUGUUCGGAAUUAUUGGGCGUAAAGCGCGUGUAGGCGGCGUGACAAGUCGGGUGUGAAAGCCCUCAGCUCAACUGAGGAAGUGCGCCCGAAACUGUCGUGCUUGAGUG